UUACGGUCAAAUCACGCUGAAACACCGGUUCUCGUACGAUCACCGAAGUUAAGCAUCGUAGAGCCAGGUCAGUACUUAGAUGGGGGACCGCUUGGGAACACCUGGUACUGUAAG
Molecule: ribosomal RNA, 114 nt
Filed under: Acanthosepion pharaonis
Lineage: Eukaryota; Metazoa; Mollusca; Cephalopoda; Sepiida; Sepiidae
Source: RNAcentral